This 3027-nucleotide ribosomal RNA is filed under the name Triticum aestivum (bread wheat). RNAcentral's name for it is "partial small subunit ribosomal RNA". Lineage: Eukaryota; Viridiplantae; Streptophyta; Magnoliopsida; Poales; Poaceae. The record is from RNAcentral.
AUGGCUGUCGACGCCAUGUUCCCCGUCCUGCGCUUCUCCGACUACUUCACUCGGCCGUCGGUCGAGGAGUUGGUCGAGAGGGAGGCGGCUGACCCGGGCUACUGCAGCAGGGUUCCAGAUUUCGUCGUCGGCAGGGCGAGGUAUGGGCAGGUGAAGUUCUCUGGCAGCACCGAUGUGAGGGGGCUGGACCUGAACGAAAUCGUCAAGUUUGGCCGCCAUUCUGUGGUGGUUUACCGGGACGAGGCUGGCAAACCGGUCGUAGGGCACGGCCUCAAUAAAGCUGCAGAGGUGACCCUGAAGCUGGAUUUGGAUACACUUCCGAAACCCGGCCUCCUAGUUGAGUUGCUACGGUGCCGCGCGAAGAAGCAAGGUGCUAGGUUUCUCUCAUUCAAUCCUGUGAGUGGUAACUGGAAGUUCGAGGUCGAUCACUUCAGUAGGUUUGGGCUUGUGGACGAGGAGGAGGAUGAUGUUGCCAUGGAUGAGCCGGUUGUACGGCCACCGAUUGCUGAAGCAAGAGACCCACCUUCAAAUGGGCAUGAACUGGAGCUUUCGCAUUCGUUGCCUGCUCAUCUUGGGCUUGACCCUGCAAAGAUGCAGGAAAUGCGGAUGGCAUUGUUUCCCAAUGAUGACGAAGACGAAGACAUGGAGGAUGGCUUUCCAUCUGAUCGCAGACACCUCAGCAGAGAAAGGAUGAGUGUGGAUUCACCCAACACAAGUGGUAAAGGUCAGAGGAUGAGGUCUCUCUCUCCUUUGCAUGGUUCUUCUCAGAAAUUUGGAAGGAGGUCUGGUGUGCUCGCAAGGAAAGAACCACAUGCACUGCUGGAAUACAAUGUAAAUUCUACAGAGGUUGGUCCAUCUUCUCAUGGUAUUCUCAUGUCUGGAAAAAACAAGGGAUUUCCGGUCAGAAUGGCCAAGGUAGAAGGCUUCAAACUACCAGCUGAGCAAGCAACUCCUGUUGCUGGAAAAGUAUAUUCUAACUGCGUAGUGGAUGCUGCUUUAUUUAUGGGUAGAUCAUUUCGAGUUGGUUGGGGACCAAAUGGCAUCCUUCUCCAUUCUGGUAGUCCUGUUAAUACUCCUGGAACUGGCCUUUCUUCUGUUAUUCACAUAGAGAAAGUUGCAGGUGAUAAAGUUGUGCGUGAUGAGCAGAACAAAGUUAAAGAGGAGCUGGCAGAACUAUGUUUCUCGGAUCCAAUGGACCUCCAUAAGAGGCUUGACCGCGAAAUUCUGGAAACUGAGUCUGACUCGUUUAAAUUAAAGCUUCAGAAAGUUGUGGCAAGUCGUUUGGUUUUGCCAGAUAUUUGCAGAUCAUACAUUGAUAUCAUCGAAAGGCAGCUUGAAAUCAGUGAUUUAUCCAUGUCUUCACGUGUGCUGUUAAUGCAUCAAGUUACGGUUUGGGAGCUAAUUAGGGUCCUGUUCUCUGAGAGAGAAGCUGGCAACCAGUUGGAAUUUUGUGGUGAUGAGGAUCAGGAGGGCAUGAUUUUGGAUAAGAAAGAAGGUUCUGUGAACAUUGACCCUGAUGCACUUCCUUUGGUUAGGAGAGCAGACUUUAGCAAUUGGUUACAGGACAGUGUUUGUCAUCGGGUACAAGGAGAGGUGGGUUCUUUAAGUGAUGCCAGAUACUUGGAGCAUAUUGUUCUGCAUUUGACUGGUCGACAAUUGGACACAGCCACAGAAAUUGCUGCUUCAAAGGGAGAUGUCCGCUUGGCAGUCCUGCUAAGCCAGGCAGGUGGAUCGAUGUUAAAUCGCUCGGAUGUUGCUCAGCAGCUGGAUCUGUGGAAAAUAAAUGGUCUGGACUUCGAUUAUAUUGAGGAAGACAGGUUAAAGAUAUACGAGUUGCUUGCUGGUAACAUACAAAGCGCUUUACUUGAUUCACCAAUCGACUGGAAAAGGUACCUUGGUUUAAUCAUGUGGUAUCAGUUGUCACCAGAUACAUCACUUGAUAUGAUCAUUCGGUGUUAUCACCAACUACUUGGCGAGGGCAAAGUUCCAAAUCCUGUUCCUGUAUAUAUCGAUGAAGGACCUCUUGAGGACGCACUUCAGUGGUCCCCAGGUGACCGAUUUGACAUAUCUUUUUAUUUAAUGCUUCUUCAUGCAAACCAAGAUGAGAAGUUUGGGCUUCUAAAGACUAUGUUCAGUGCAUUCUCGUCAUCAUAUGAUCCCAUGGACUACCAUAUGAUCUGGCAUCAACGAUCUAUUCUCGAAGCUAUUGGUGCUUUCAGUACAAAUGAUCUUCAUGUACUGGAUUUGAGUUUUGUCCAUCAGUUACUAUGUCUUGGGAAGUGCCAUUGGGCUAUCUACGUCAUUCUGCAUAUGCCACAUCUGGAUGAUGCCCCUUACAUCCACGAAAAAUUAAUCAGGGAAAUUUUGUCGCAGUAUUGUGAGAUAUGGAGCAAAGAUGGGGCUCAGAGGCAAUAUAUUGCAGAACUUGGUAUACCAGCAGAAUGGAUACAUGAGGCUCUGGCUCUUUAUCACGAAUACUAUGGAGAUCGACAAGGUGCACUGGGGAAUUAUAUUCAAUGCGGCAAUUGGAAGAAAGCUCAUACCAUUUUCAUGACAUCUGUUGCUCAUUCUUUGUUUCUGUCAUCCAAACAUCAAGAAAUAUUCGACAUUACAAGUGCUUUGGAGAAUCACAAAUCUGAAAUUGCUGACUGGGACGUUGGUGCUGCAAUAUACAUAGACUAUUUCAACAUAAAAAACUGCAUGCAAGAAGAAAGUACUAUGGACGAUGAUUCAGAUCCACUUGAGAGUAAAAAUGAAUUGUGCAAGAGUUUCUUCGAUCGAUUAAAUGACUCGCUGGGUAUCUGGGGAAGCAAAUUACCCAUUGAGGCAAGGGCAUGCUUCUCGAAGAUGGCAGAGGAGCUCUGCGAGCUUCUAAUGAGCUCCCCCGGCGAGGGCUCGGCGCCAGAUCUCUUCAUGAGCUGCUUUCAGACGAUGCUCAACGCCCCUGUGCCCACCGACAACAGGGCGUCCUACCUGCAGGAGGCAGUCUCUGUUUUCACCGACAUACUUUGCGGGGACUCAUUGUAA